UGGAGUGUAGCUCAAUGGCAGAGUGCUUGCCUAGAAUGCAUGAGGCCCGCGUUCCAUCCUCAACACUGCAA
This 71-nucleotide transfer RNA is filed under the name Marmota monax (woodchuck). It matches the Rfam family "tRNA". From Rfam's summary of the family: Transfer RNA (tRNA) molecules are approximately 80 nucleotides in length. Lineage: Eukaryota; Metazoa; Chordata; Mammalia; Rodentia; Sciuridae. The record is from Rfam by way of RNAcentral.